Molecule: long non-coding RNA, 292 nt
Organism: Cyprinus carpio (common carp)
Lineage: Eukaryota; Metazoa; Chordata; Actinopteri; Cypriniformes; Cyprinidae
Exons: 3
Source: RefSeq, a predicted model, not a curated record
GUGGAGGAAUAGACGCCAUUUCGUGCCUUCAAGACCUUACUGGUUGUUGGAAAGAGGUUUUUUUUGCCUGCCAUCAAUCUCCUCUUUUUUUAAAGAGGCACUGACUCUAAAAUGAGUUGCCCAUGAAAAAAGAAAAGAUGAGAGCACUGCCUCUAAAAUGAGUUCUCCACCUCCUGGAUCAAGCUGUGUGUCUAUGAGUGAGAUGUACAUAAGCAAUUUCCCCCUCUGUAUCCAAGUGAUGCAACAGUGUCCUUUGACCUCAGGAAGAGACAGAGUUCAGAGUCUCCAGAAC